UACGUAGGGGGCAAGCGUUGUCCGGAAUCAUUGGGCGUAAAGCGCGAGUAGGCGGCUCGAUAAGUCUGCUGUGAAAGUCCAGGGCUCAACCCUGGAAAGCCGGUGGAAACUGUCGGGCUAGAGUCCGGAAGAGGCGAGUGGAAUUCCUGGUGUAGCGGUGAAAUGCGCAGAUAUCAGGAGGAACACCAAUGGCGAAGGCAGCUCGCUGGGACGGUACUGACGCUGAGACGCGAAAGCGUGGGGAGCAAACAGG
Molecule: ribosomal RNA, 253 nt
Filed under: uncultured bacterium
Lineage: Bacteria
Description: partial 16S ribosomal RNA
Rfam family: Bacterial small subunit ribosomal RNA
Source: RNAcentral